This 464-nucleotide ribosomal RNA is filed under the name Vreelandella stevensii. RNAcentral's name for it is "partial 16S ribosomal RNA". It matches the Rfam family "Bacterial small subunit ribosomal RNA", at positions 339 to 795 of the family's 1533-position model. Lineage: Bacteria; Pseudomonadati; Pseudomonadota; Gammaproteobacteria; Oceanospirillales; Halomonadaceae. The record is from RNAcentral.
CUACGGGGUGCUGCAGUGGGGAAUAUUGGACAAUGGGCGAAAGCCUGAUCCAGCCAUGCCGCGUGUGUGAAGAAGGCCUUCGGGUUGUAAAGCACUUUCAGUGGGGAAGAAAGCCUUGGGGCUAAUACCCUCGAGGAAGGACAUCACCCACAGAAGAAGCACCGGCUAACUCCGUGCCAGCAGCCGCGGUAAUACGGAGGGUGCGAGCGUUAAUCGGAAUUACUGGGCGUAAAGCGCGCGUAGGCGGUCUGAUAAGCCGGUUGUGAAAGCCCCGGGCUCAACCUGGGAACGGCAUCCGGAACUGUCAGGCUAGAGUGCAGGAGAGGAAGGUAGAAUUCCCGGUGUAGCGGUGAAAUGCGUAGAGAUCGGGAGGAAUACCAGUGGCGAAGGCGGCCUUCUGGACUGACACUGACGCUGAGGUGCGAAAGCGUGGGUAGCAAACAGGAUUAGAUACCCGGGUAGUC